This 460-nucleotide ribosomal RNA is filed under the name uncultured bacterium. RNAcentral describes it as "partial 16S ribosomal RNA". It matches the Rfam family "Bacterial small subunit ribosomal RNA", at positions 338 to 795 of the family's 1533-position model. The record is from RNAcentral.
CCUACGUGUGGCAGCAGUGAGGAAUAUUGGUCAAUGGACGGAAGUCUGAACCAGCCAUGCCGCGUGCAGGAAGACGGCUCUAUGAGUUGUAAACUGCUUUUGUACAAGGGUAAACCUGAAUACGUGUAUUCAGCUGAAAGUACUGUACGAAUAAGGAUCGGCUAACUCCGUGCCAACAGCCGCGGUAAUACGGAGGAUCCAAGCGUUAUCCGGAUUUAUUGGGUUUAAAGGGUGCGUAGGCGGAUUGAUAAGUUAGAGGUGAAAUGUCCGAGCUUAACUCGGGAACUGCCUCUAAUACUGUUGAUCUAGAGAGUAGAUGCGGUAGGCGGAAUGUAUGGUGUAGCGGUGAAAUGCUUAGAGAUCAUACAGAACACCGAUUGCGAAGGCAGCUUACCAAUCUAUAUCUGACGUUGAGGCACGAAAGCGUGGGGAGCAAACAGGAUUAGAUACCCUAGUAGUC